UCUACAAAAUGCUCGGCUGCCGGUACGCUCCAUCUCUCCCCUUCCCCCUGGGAAAGCCCUGGGAUGACACCCAUAAUUAGCCAAGAAGGGGCUCAUCCCUGUGGACACAUUCUCGGCAUUGUUGUAGGCAAAUUCCGCCAGCGCCAACUUUUCUACCCAGUCAUCUCUCUGUCAUUGACAUAACACCUCAGGUAUUGCUGGAGGACACCGUUUGCUCUUUCCGCCUGCCCGUUGGUUUCAGGGUGCCGGGCAGUCGAAAAGUUGACCUCCACCUGCAGUAAGCUCAUGAGCUUCCUCCAGAACCUGGAAGUAAAUUGUUUUCCUCGGUCUGAGACCACCCUCAAUGGCACCCCGUGCAACCUAAAAUGUGUUCUACAAAUAACUUUGCUGUCUCUUCCGCCGUGACUGCAUGCGAGCAAGCUACAAAGUGGCACAUCUUUGUUAGUAGGUCUACCACCACCAUGAUGGCUGUUUUCCCUUUGGACUUCGGCAGAUCAGUCAUAAAAUCUAUCGACACUGCCUCCCAAGGUCGUUCUGGUGUUGGUAAGGGUUCUCAUAGCCCCGCCGGCGCCCGCCUUUCCCCUUUGGCUCGCUGGCACUGCUCGCACCCUCUUACAUACUCACGUACAUCCUCCCUCACCUUAGGCCACCAAAAUUCCCUGGUGACCAACCACAUGGUUUUGUGUUGCCCAAAAUGCCCCGCCGUGGGGCUGUCAUGCAACUGCUUGAGUACCCUCCCCUUAAGUCUCCUUCAGGGAUAUACAGUGCCCCUUUGUAAUACAAAGCUCCAUUUCUUUCCUCGAAACCCCUUGAUUCCUCUCCCUCAUCCCUAAGACCUCUAAGCUUAUUCUGGGCGUAUUCAUCAUUCUCUGUUUCUUCUACCAGUUCUCUUUGUCCCACCAAUGCCGCCCCACACACCCAGCGGUCCUCUGGAAUGACAUGUCUCUCUUCGGGUGCUCCCUCCCCUCCAAAUAUUCAGGUUUGCGUGAGAGAGCGUCCGCCCUAAUAUUCUCUGGGCCUGGCACGUAACAAAUCUCAAAGUUAAAUUUGGAGAAUUCCUGAGCCCAUCUCACUUGCCGUUGGUUGAGCACUCGUGCCGUCCUCCAAUACUCUAGGUUCUUGUGGUCAGUGCACACUUGCACCUUAUGUUGUGCGCCAAUUAGCAGGUGCCUCCAUCUCCGGAACGCCUCAUGAAUGGCUAGUAGUUCUCGGUCAUACACCGUGUAGUUCCUCUCGGAUUUGUUCAGCUUUCGCGAAAAAAAGCACACGGUCUCCACUCUGACUCCUCCUUCCCUGGCUGGAGAAGCACCGCCCCAACCGCUCUGUCUGAUGCAUCAGUUUCCACUCUCAUCGGUUUUUGUAAAUCCACAUGCAGGAGCUGUUGUUCCGAGGCGAAGGCCCUUUUAGUUCCUCAAAUGCUUGCUCCGCCUCCUCCGUCCAAACGAACUUCUUCUUACUGCUGAGACAGUCCGUAAUGGGCGCCGUCAGGUGGGCAAAGUUUGGGAUGAACUUACGAUAGAAGUUCCCAAACCCUAAAAACCUCUGCACAUCCUUCCUUGUUUUGGGUGUUUUCCAUUCCAGUACCGCCUGGACCUUGCCGGGAUCCAUGGCCAACCCCUUGUCAGACAGGCGAUACCCCAGGAAUUCCACCUCCUUGGUAUGAAACUGACACUUCUCCAGUUUCACCCACAGCUGGUUGGCUUGCAGCCUGCUCAACACUUCUCUGACGUCUCUCACAUGCUGCUCCUCAUUCUCAGAAUACACCAACACGUCGUCUAAGAAGGCCACACAAUUCUUGUAAAGCAACGGCCCCAGGACGUGGUUCAUAAACGAUUGAAAUGUUGCGGAGCCUGCUUGUAGACCGAAGGGCAUAACUAAGUAUUCAAAUGCCCCUAAAGGGGUGAACAUGGUGGUUUUCCAUUCAUCCCCCUUCCUUAUUCGUAUCAGGUUGUACGCCCCCUUAGAUCCAGCUUGGUGAAAAUCUUUCCCUUUCGCACCCUUGUCAAAAUGUCGUCAAUCCUGGGCAUCGGGAGGCCACUGGUUCUGACACUGCAUUUAAGGCCCUGAAGUCACACACCAGUCUCGGCUUGUUCGUGUUUUUUUGUCCACAAAAACACUGGGCUGCCCCCACCGCCCUGGACUCUCUGAUGAACCCUCUCUUCAGGUUCUUGUCAAUGAACUCUCUUAGCUCCUGCAUCUCUCUGUCUGACAUGGCGUACAGCUUGCCCACAGGGAGCUGUGCCCCAGGGAGCAAAUUGAUUUGACAGUCAAAGGCUCUAUGCGGUGGUAGUUGGUCAGCUUCCCUUUCGCUGAAGACGUCGCGGAGAUCUGCGUAUUGUCGUGGUACCUUCACGUUCUCCUUCACUUCAGUCCCUGCUAGGGUGGCUUGGGCCCCUGCCAAAACCUUUCCCUCUUUGCAAUGUUCUAAGCAAUGUGCUGACCCAAAAGAAACCACUCUCUGAUGCCAGCCCACCAGCGGAUCAUGUAACGCUAGCCAGCUCAUCCCCAAUAUAAUGGGAGCUCCUCCCAAGGUGGCCACAUUAAAAGCUAUCAGUUCAGUGUGCCUUGCCACCUUCAUUAUCAUUGGGACGGUCUGCAAGCUGACUUCUCCUCCCAACAGCUCCCUGCCAUCGAUCGUGGUUACCUGCAGGGGGUUGCUUAAAGGGAGCGUCUGUAUCUGGUGUUCAGCUGCAAACUCUUUGCUCAUGAAAUUGCAGGAGCUGCCUGAGUCCAACAGCGCCUUUAUCUUUAGAGGGUGUCCGUUUGGGAGCUCUAGUGUCACUUCUAUCACUAGGGCGGGUUUAGGAGGUUCUGGAGUGGGCACUUUCACUGCUCUUUGGCCUGGCUGCUGUGCCCCGACAAUGGCAGCCAGGCGUUGGCUUUUAGUUGCUCCGGUAUUUUUCCUCUCUUCCCUCCACAGCUCCCACCAUCCCUUGCCAUUCCUUCCUCUGGGGGCAGACUCUGGCAAAGUGCCCUGGCUGUUGGCAGAGAUAGCAUUUCCGGGCGCCUUUUCCAUCCUUCUUUCCCCCUCACUGGGCUUUGAAACUGCGCGCGCGCGCUGUUCCGAUUUCCAUCGGCUCUGCCGGCGGGACAGUUGGCUCUGGAAUUUCUGGAAUGCGGAACUCCUUCCAACGUUCCCCUUCCCUUCCCGCCUCUCCAAUGCUCUCGCCUCCUGGCGCGCCUCCUAUGGCCAGCGCUGAUUUGGUCAGCUGGUCCAUAGACUCCGCCCUGGGCGCCCGGGAAAGUUCAUCUUUCACAGCCGAAGAAAGCCCUUCUUCAAAGAGCAUUUGAAUGGGUUCCGCCGAUAAGUCCCACCCCAAUCUGUGUAUCAGCAUGGUGAACUCAGUCCAGUACUCACGUACAGAUCGGCUCCCUGUUUGCAAGCCAUUAACUGUCUGCGCACCACUCCCUUUUCAAUAUCGCUGGAAAACAUCAGAUCCAUGGCGCGAAAGAACUUCAUCGUGUCCUUUAAGACGUCACUAUUAGCUGCCAUCAGGGGUCUAACCCAGUCUCUCGCCCCUUUUCAAGAUGCCCAAUCACAAAAGCCACUCGUGAUUCCUCAUCAGGGAAAUCAUCAAACUGCAGAUUGAGGGCAUAUUGCAUUUCUGUCCGAAAGCUAUGAUAGUCUUUGGGCUCCCCCCCAAAUUUUUGCACCAAUCCUGGUACCUUUCUGGCGAGCUGGGUGGCUUUCUCCCCUUUGUCUGCAUCUUGAGCCCUCCUCUCCUCCAGCCUCGCCGUCUGCAGCGCCAGCUGGACCUCCAACACUCGGUACCUUUCUUCCAGGCUUGGACCCGCUCCAGCCCCUGCUUCUCCGGUUCCUGCUGGGUUGCUCAUUAUGCCUUCUCCUGCACAAGCUGCGUUCAAAGACUGUCGGAAUGCUGUGAUGGGAUUAUGAGCUGCUUGUGCGUAAAAUCGUAUUCCCUCAGAGUUUGUUCAAGUCCACAAACCUCUGUCUGUGACUGAGCCCCUCUGACAUGGCUCCUCUUAGUCACUAGAAGAUUCCGACAGUGGUUGCUUUCGUAAUCGCUUCCAACAUAAAAGCUCCUUAACGGAAACACGUCUUCUGGACUCUCUGCGUGACAGUUUCCGGCGAGGAGUGGGUGUCGCUACAGGAGGUCCGGAAACCUCACCACUGUUUUCGCUGGAAGUAUCUCUGAGCCAUCCCCCAGCUCCCUUUCCCUCAGUUCAGCUUCUCUCCCUGCUGGUUUCCUCUUCAGCUGCUAAGUCUCUUCCAACCUGUCUGAGCCCUUUCACCUCCCUCAGUUCAGCUUCUCUCCCCCUGCUGGUUUCCUCUUCAGCUGCUAAGUCUCUUCCAACCUGUCUGAGUCCUUUCACCUCCCUUCCUACCGAUGGCAGUUCCCUGACAAUACUGAUUUUUUUUAUUAAAAAAACACACAUAUUCACAUUUCAUAAUGUUUUUAAAUUUAUUCAUACUUUCUGUAGGAAAUUAGUACAUCGUUUUUUUCCAGACCCUUUAUAAACAUUUCAAAGAUGAAUAUCCAUUUUAAGCCCUUCGAAGUCCUGGAUCAGAUCUAAACUUUGAAAUGUGUUCUAAAUAUUUUUUUUUAAUCUGUUCUGGAGAAUUUGUCUCAAUGGAAAAAGUAGAGAAAAGUCUGCAGUUUCUUGCUGUUGUGGCCAUAAACAAUCUUAAGCAUAAGGUCAGUAGCUGAACAUCUUAGCCCACAUUGGAUUUACAAACUGGUGUAUGUUACCCCAAAGAUGUGAAUUUUAAAAGAAGCACAUUUCAGUAAGCCUUAGCCUAGACUUUAUAAUGAUCUCACAAUAUUUGGCCACAGAAUAUGCUUCUGAGAUGUUGGAAGAUGAGAUCAGAUGGAACCUUCCCCCAAUAAAAACCCUCAUGUUGAUAAUAUAUGAUCACCUUUUUUAUUGUGAGUUCUUGAAAUAACCACUAAUGCAGUCAGGGAAAAGAAACUCCAUUCCAUGUGACUAAAUAUGAAGAACUUAACUAGUUUUAACUAUUUACAUAUUGUUAAAUAUGCUGGGAGAUCAUAUCAUUUUUGUUGAUGCUUCCGUUGGGAAUAACAGAGCAGCUGGAGCUGAACACCUGAAAUAGAAUGCAUUCUAAAUUCAAUAAAUCAUUACAAUAAUCUACCCUAGUUUAUGAGCAUAAAAUUAUAUGAGUAAAGAAGAUUAUAGAUCCCUCAUUUAUUUCAUCAGUAAAAGUGUGACUUAACAUUUUACAGUUUAAAGUCCCACUCUUCCAAAGAAUUUUGGAUAGUGUGUUUGGUGUGUCCUUCCCUUUCCCCAAAUCUAUAUAACUGCCUUACACCUUGUCAGCAAACAUAGCCCAGUGUUGUCUAUUCUGACUGGAUGACUCUCUCCUGGGUCCUGGGCAGGGACCUUUCACAACAGAUCCUUUGAACUAGAGUUGAAACAUAAAAACCAUGUGAGAUUAACCAGCUGAGAAAUAGUGACUCGCUCAUGGUCCAUGGUUGAAUGGGGAUUUGAGCUCAGAACUUCCUUGUUCUGUGCUAGCUACUAUGAACAAAUGCUGGUUUGUUGGUAAUUCCAAAUUAGCUAAAUCUGUGGGAGACUGUAAGGUAAUAGAAGCAUCCAGCUAUGUUGAAAGAAGAGGGUGGCAGAUGGAAUUGUUUGUUAGGACAAAAUUAUUCACGUUUGUAAUAAUGCUUACAUAGCAUAAAGCACAGAAUAUAAUAGAGUAGGAGAAGACAAGAGUGCCUUCUGUGCAAUGGAAAACUAGACAUUGACAGUGCUGUUUUUCUAGAAAAAGAGAUGCCAGAAUUCACCAUGAAUGCCUCCUUUGUUCACUUCUAAUGGCAAUGGAGCGCACCUGAGAGGUGCCAGAACUGAGUUGCAGUGAGUUCCGGCUAAAAAAAAGCCCUGGUUACUGGCAUUCUCCCUCUUAAACCUCCCCGCCCCUUCAAAAGUAAUGUGGAGCAGAUUUGAAAAGUGAUGUUACAUCUUAUUUUAUGGACUGUGAUCCAUGCAAGUUGCCACAAUGCGUUUCUUUUUAUGGUGCCACCAGACUUUUGUUUGUUUUCCUGCAAGAUGGCUAGAACAUGGAUAAUUCUCUCUAGGGAAAGCAGUAAUGGAAGUUAGAAACAUCGCUGUCAAUUAGGACUGGGGAUCAGGGCAUCCAGCCAAAUGUAUUGUUGCCCUUCAUCCUCACCACCAAAAGGCAGAAGAGUAGAUACCAGGGAAUGGAGUAUAGGAUUUAGUGUGCACUUCCUUAUAAAACCAGAAUAGGGUUCCAUGCUAAAUGGACCACUUCUUUGAUUCAAGCAAAGCUGUUCUGUUUUCAUUUUUUGUUUUUAUGCCGAAAGAGUGAAGUGCCUUAUUCAGAGACUCAUGACAGGCAAUUUGAAAGAUACUAAAUUAUUUCUGUGUGUGUGCCAUCAGCACAUACAGAACAUCCACAGUGAUAGCCCUACACUGAAUGAUCAUACCAUAGGUUGCCAUACACUAAAGUGGAUUAGCAUCCUGACUUUUACCUCUCAGAAUGAAUUUUACUGCACUAAGAGCUGGUUUGCACUAGGUAGUGGCACCUUUACAAGGACCUCUAUGCGGAGAUGAAAUGUGAAUGAACUGCCACCUUUGUGUGGCAAACAAAGUGAGGAUGUUUCGACAUCCACACUUGCAGCACCCCCACUUCUAGAGCUGCUGUCAUUGUAGAAAUUGCAACACAGCCCCCUGUGUGGAGCUGUCUGUUCAUAUAAAUGACGUCUCCUAACCAAAAGCUCAAAAGUGGCCCAGUAUAUUUGCAAGCAUUCAUGAGGACCACUGGCUAGUGUGAACUGGCUGUUGUGAGGGUAAAUAUAACCAUUCUAUGAGUCAACUAAUCCCAGUUGGAUGGUUUUGAUUAUGUGCUCUGAGACUCCAUUGUGCCUGUGUGAUUAGAUUCCCACCCUCCCCAUAGAGUUUUCUAUCACCAACUGUGUCCUGGUUGUCAUCUAAAGUGUUGCUUUAGAAAUAUUUCUUCUUUAAAAAUCUACCUGUGCUUAAUUGGAGCUCCCAAUGCGAGGACUACUGCAUUCAGAGCACCACUGCUGAGUGAUUAACAUACUGUCUCCUCCAAUUUGAUUAUAUAGGUGGAAUCUUGAAAUAUUAUUGCACAUUGCUAAAAUGCAAUACAAAUUCAAAAAAUUACCUUUGGGGUGCAUGCGCAUAGGCUGCUUUAAUUCAAUCACCUGAAGAAAUCAUAGACAUGUGACAAAAUUAUCAUGAUAUCACAGCCCAUUGUUUGGGUUCUGUGAGGCUCUCCAUGCCCAAAUACCUGUUGGAAAAUCAGUGUAUUGUUUAAUCACAUUUGUCUUUCUCCAAGCUGUGGCCCACUUUUCUUGCCUCUUGCUUUGGUAAACUGCAUGAAAAAAACAGUGACUGACAUCUUUAUGGCAAAGCUGCUUGCUUAGGACAAUCUUCUUUUAGGGCAGUGGUACCCUGAAAGAUUGGGUAAUGCUGGUGCAACUUGCAGCACAUGGCCUCUUUGAUUUUCUACCUUGCCUUUGGGGCAGGGAGGAAGCCCUGAAAAAGUAGGAAGCCAGAAACAGUUUCCUGGCAUGUACACAGUAGUGUAGCAUGAAAAGUCUACAGGCACAGCUGUGUCAAUUGAUGGGGCAGCAAAGGAUCCACACACUUGUAUUCAGAUGCAUUAUAUAAAGAGAAAUAACCUGUGUGACUUCAAGACGGCUUCAGUAAACCAAAUUAUGUGUGUUUCAAAGCCCAGAUUUUAUAUUAUAGCACUUGUUGAAUCUGCCCUAUUAAAAAUGGGCACUGUCAUUUUUUAAAAGCCACUAGUUAAUUUUGUUGUAAAUACGUCAUUUAAAUACAUCAGCAUUAAAUACAGUGGUACCUCGCAAGACGAAUGCCUCGCAAGACGAAAAACUCGCAAGACGAAAGAGUUUUUCGUUUUUUGAGUUGCUUCGCAAGACGAAUUUCCCUAUGGGCUUGCUUUGCAAGACAAAAACGUCUUGCAAGUUUGUUUCCUUUUCUUAAAACCGUUAAUACCCAGGGUGACUUUGAGGAGCAACUCAUAGCACGCGGUGUGGUAGCCUUUUUUGAAGUUUUUGAAUACUUUGGUGAUUUUGAAGACUUUGGGAAACCGUGCUUCGCAAGACGAAAAAUUUGCAAGACGAAAAAACUCGCAGAACGAAUUAAUUUCGUCUUGCGAGGCACCACUGUACAAGGAUUACUUUUAGUAUGUGAUCCAAUAGGAGCUAUAUUUUUUGGCAAACCAAUUUUACCCAUAUUUUGAAUAGUUCUGUUGGUGGAAAGUGGUGGUUGUGCCUGUACAGAUAUGUAUUCAUUCUGCACUUGGCAGUAUGAUCCCAAUCUGUGUUAGACAACAAGGGAAGGGUCUUCCAAUUACACAGUGGCUAAGUUUAUCAACCCGCUAGAAAACUCUACUAUGCACACCCUUUGAACUUAAUAGCAGUUGUUGUGCAGAUGCAUUAGAGUCCUUGCAGAGUUGCCUUCAUUUUAGCACAACUUAAACAGGGAAAGGUCUCAGUGGUUUUUAGCUCCUUGUCUCCUAUGAGGAUUGAGGGAUGUUGCUCCCACUCUGCAGUAUUGCUAGAGGAUAAUUAUAAAAUUAGUUAUCUGUGUUAAUAUAGACUUGCAGUGGAAGUAGAUAUACUGAGUAGCUGAAACUAAUAGGUGAAUUUUAAAAAACAAAUUUAGGUAAGUCAAAAGCCAUCUUUUUUGGGGGGGAGGGGUUCAUGUAAGUAAAUGCAGUUUUAAAUUACAAAUGGGCAGUUCUUCCAGAUAUAGUUCCUGAAUACCCUCUUCAGAAAAGUUUUAUUAAACUGAAAAUUUGUGUUGAGUUAAGUUGCUGAAGAAAUGAGCAGAAGCGGUAUCCCUUUUCUAGGAUGGAAAUGUUCAUAUUAAAAGGGGUGUGGGAAAACUGUGGUUGCAAUUGACUUUUACUUAUGCUGCAUUCUUCCACCGUCCCAAGCACUUUGGCAUUCUUGCACUGAAUGGUUUGAUUCAGACAUAACACAACUCUGUGUAUAAAGCCAAGAUAUGCAUGGGCCUUGUCCUCACUGCCCUUUCUUUGCUUCCUUCCUCUUCAUACUUGAGUUAGUCAUAGUUUCCUCUUACAUCUAAAGUGGUAAACUAUAGGUCCUAAAAUUGGAACAAGGUUUGAAGCUCUUGGCUUGUCCUGAACUUUGUAACUAUAGCUUCCCCCUUUCAGACAUAAUGGGAACCUAUGGUUAAUUAACCUAGGUAGUCUUCAAUGUUAUGUCGGAACCAGACCAUUGCCUAGUUUACAUUUUUGAACCUGUUUGGGCAUGUGCCUGGCUGUGAAUUUCAAAACCUGGAAAAAGCAUCAUGUGACAGCAAAUUACGCAGUGUUUAAAUACAUGCUAUUUGAGGGUACAGCAUUUUCGUACAGAUUUAAAGUCACAAAAAAGUCCUACCCACUUCAACCCUGUUGUUAACGUUAUAACAUUCAUUUCUCAAAACAUUGUGGAUUUGUAUCAUAUUGUAUUUAUUUUGUUCAGGUUGUCUUCCUUUUUUUAAAAAAAGUUUUCUUUUAAGGCUCUGUAUAUAUUGACAUUAAAGUUUGUGUUGUAUUACAUUCUACUUAAGGAUGUAGCCGGUAUUGUAUUACAUAGUAUGUUGUUCUUUGCAUCCAUGCUGCUAAAGACAGUGUAUGCUUUCUCUCUCUGAAUCAUGACAUAUGCCAAAGACAGCAU
Non-coding RNA from Podarcis lilfordi (Lilford's wall lizard), 9677 nucleotides. Lineage: Eukaryota; Metazoa; Chordata; Lepidosauria; Squamata; Lacertidae. The record is from the annotation of a GenBank genome assembly.